CGGAUCGUUCAUAGUUGGUCGAAAAAACACUGAGCUGAUAUUUUUGGGGAGGCCAAAAGCUCCUUGCAUGGGGUGCAAGGGGUCGAGUGUUCGAAUCACUCCGUCCCGACCA
Molecule: transfer RNA, 112 nt
Filed under: Pseudomonas guariconensis
Lineage: Bacteria; Pseudomonadati; Pseudomonadota; Gammaproteobacteria; Pseudomonadales; Pseudomonadaceae
Description: tRNA-Ser
Source: RNAcentral